RNAcentral lists this ribosomal RNA (3026 nucleotides) under Salmonella enterica subsp. enterica serovar Anatum str. USDA-ARS-USMARC-1677. RNAcentral's name for it is "bacterial LSU rRNA". It matches the Rfam family "Bacterial large subunit ribosomal RNA". Lineage: Bacteria; Pseudomonadati; Pseudomonadota; Gammaproteobacteria; Enterobacterales; Enterobacteriaceae. The record is from RNAcentral.
GGGUUGUGAGGUUAAGCGACUAAGCGUACACGGUGGAUGCCCUGGCAGUCAGAGGCGAUGAAGGGCGUGCUAAUCUGCGAUAAGCGCCGGUAAGGUGAUAUGAACCGUUAUAACCGGCGAUACCCGAAUGGGGAAACCCAGUGUGAUUCGUCACACUAUCAUUAACUGAAUCCAUAGGUUAAUGAGGCGAACCGGGGGAACUGAAACAUCUAAGUACCCCGAGGAAAAGAAAUCAACCGAGAUUCCCCCAGUAGCGGCGAGCGAACGGGGAGGAGCCCAGAGCCUGAAUCAGCAUGUGUGUUAGUGGAAGCGUCUGGAAAGGCGCGCGAUACAGGGUGACAGCCCCGUACACAAAAGCGCAUGUGCUGUGAGCUCGAUGAGUAGGGCGGGACACGUGGUAUCCUGUCUGAAUAUGGGGGGACCAUCCUCCAAGGCUAAAUACUCCUGACUGACCGAUAGUGAACCAGUACCGUGAGGGAAAGGCGAAAAGAACCCCGGCGAGGGGAGUGAAAAAGAACCUGAAACCGUGUACGUACAAGCAGUGGGAGCCCCACCACUAAGCCAGUGGUGAACUCCACAUACGCAUCCUUUGCUGAGGAUACGGUUAACGGAGCGAAAGCGACGUUCAACCGCAAAAGAAGCAGAGGGGGCUUAGUGGUGGGGUGACUGCGUACCUUUUGUAUAAUGGGUCAGCGACUUAUAUUCUGUAGCAAGGUUAACCGAAUAGGGGAGCCGGAGGGAAACCGAGUCUUAAUUGGGCGUUAAGUUGCAGGGUAUAGACCCGAAACCCGGUGAUCUAGCCAUGGGCAGGUUGAAGGUUGGGUAACACUAACUGGAGGACCGAACCGACUAAUGUUGAAAAAUUAGCGGAUGACCUGUGGCUGGGGGUGAAAGGCCAAUCAAACCGGGAGAUAGCUGGUUCUCCCCGAAAGCUAUUUAGGUAGCGCCUCGUGAAUUCAUCUCCGGGGGUAGAGCACUGUUUCGGCUAGGGGGCCAUCCCGGCUUACCAACCCGAUGCAAACUGCGAAUACCGGAGAAUGUUAUCACGGGAGACACACGGCGGGUGCUAACGUCCGUCGUGAAGAGGGAAACAACCCAGACCGCCAGCUAAGGUCCCAAAGUCAUGGUUAAGUGGGAAACGAUGUGGGAAGGCCCAGACAGCCAGGAUGUUGGCUUAGAAGCAGCCAUCAUUUAAAGAAAGCGUAAUAGCUCACUGGUCGAGUCGGCCUGCGCGGAAGAUGUAACGGGGCUAAACCAUGCACCGAAGCUGCGGCAGCGACACUCAGGUGUUGUUGGGUAGGGGAGCGUUCUGUAAGCCUGUGAAGGUGGCCUGUGAGGGUUGCUGGAGGUAUCAGAAGUGCGAAUGCUGACAUAAGUAACGAUAAAGCGGGUGAAAAGCCCGCUCGCCGGAAGACCAAGGGUUCCUGUCCAACGUUAAUCGGGGCAGGGUGAGUCGACCCCUAAGGCGAGGCCGAAAGGCGUAGUCGAUGGGAAACGGGUUAAUAUUCCCGUACUUGGUGUUACUGCGAAGGGGGGACGGAGAAGGCUAUGUUGGCCGGGCGACGGUUGUCCCGGUUUAAGCGUGUAGGCUGGUUUUCCAGGCAAAUCCGGAAAAUCAAGGCUGAGGCGUGACGACGAGGCACUACGGUGCUGAAGCAACAAAUGCCCUGCUUCCAGGAAAAGCCUCUAAGCAUCAGGUAACAUCAAAUCGUACCCCAAACCGACACAGGUGGUCAGGUAGAGAAUACCAAGGCGCUUGAGAGAACUCGGGUGAAGGAACUAGGCAAAAUGGUGCCGUAACUUCGGGAGAAGGCACGCUGACACGUAGGUGAAGUGAUUUACUCACGGAGCUGAAGUCAGUCGAAGAUACCAGCUGGCUGCAACUGUUUAUUAAAAACACAGCACUGUGCAAACACGAAAGUGGACGUAUACGGUGUGACGCCUGCCCGGUGCCGGAAGGUUAAUUGAUGGGGUCAGCGCAAGCGAAGCUCCUGAUCGAAGCCCCGGUAAACGGCGGCCGUAACUAUAACGGUCCUAAGGUAGCGAAAUUCCUUGUCGGGUAAGUUCCGACCUGCACGAAUGGCGUAAUGAUGGCCAGGCUGUCUCCACCCGAGACUCAGUGAAAUUGAACUCGCUGUGAAGAUGCAGUGUACCCGCGGCAAGACGGAAAGACCCCGUGAACCUUUACUAUAGCUUGACACUGAACAUUGAGCCUUGAUGUGUAGGAUAGGUGGGAGGCUUUGAAGCGUGGACGCCAGUCUGCGUGGAGCCGACCUUGAAAUACCACCCUUUAAUGUUUGAUGUUCUAACGUGGACCCGUAAUCCGGGUUGCGGACAGUGUCUGGUGGGUAGUUUGACUGGGGCGGUCUCCUCCUAAAGAGUAACGGAGGAGCACGAAGGUUGGCUAAUCCUGGUCGGACAUCAGGAGGUUAGUGCAAUGGCAUAAGCCAGCUUGACUGCGAGCGUGACGGCGCGAGCAGGUGCGAAAGCAGGUCAUAGUGAUCCGGUGGUUCUGAAUGGAAGGGCCAUCGCUCAACGGAUAAAAGGUACUCCGGGGAUAACAGGCUGAUACCGCCCAAGAGUUCAUAUCGACGGCGGUGUUUGGCACCUCGAUGUCGGCUCAUCACAUCCUGGGGCUGAAGUAGGUCCCAAGGGUAUGGCUGUUCGCCAUUUAAAGUGGUACGCGAGCUGGGUUUAGAACGUCGUGAGACAGUUCGGUCCCUAUCUGCCGUGGGCGCUGGAGAACUGAGGGGGGCUGCUCCUAGUACGAGAGGACCGGAGUGGACGCAUCACUGGUGUUCGGGUUGUCAUGCCAAUGGCACUGCCCGGUAGCUAAAUGCGGAAGAGAUAAGUGCUGAAAGCAUCUAAGCACGAAACUUGCCCCGAGAUGAGUUCUCCCUGAGACUUAGAGUCUCCUGAAGGAACGUUGAAGACGACGACGUUGAUAGGCCGGGUGUGUAAGCGCAGCGAUGCGUUGAGCUAACCGGUACUAAUGAACCGUGAGGCUUAACCUUACAACGCCGAAG